RNAcentral lists this ribosomal RNA (470 nucleotides) under uncultured bacterium. RNAcentral describes it as "partial 16S ribosomal RNA". It matches the Rfam family "Bacterial small subunit ribosomal RNA", at positions 28 to 507 of the family's 1533-position model. The record is from RNAcentral.
GACGAACGCUGGCGGCGUGCUUAACACAUGCAAGUCGAACGGUGAACGAGGGAGCUUGCUCCCUCCGGAUCAGUGGCGAACGGGUGAGUAACACGUGAGCAAUCUGCCCCGAACUCUGGGAUAAGCGUUGGAAACGACGUCUAAUACCGGAUACGACGCGGGAGGGCAUCCUCUCCGCGUGGAAAGAACUUCGGUUCGGGAUGAGCUCGCGGCCUAUCAGCUUGUUGGUGAGGUAACGGCUCACCAAGGCGACGACGGGUAGCCCGCCCGGGAGGGUGACCGGCCACACUGGGACUGAGACACGGCCCAGACUCCUACGGGAGGCAGCAGUGGGGAAUAUUGCGCAAUGGGCGCAAGCCUGAUGCAGCGACGCCGCGUGAGGGACGACGGCCUUCGGGUUGUAAACCUCUUUUAGCAGGGAAGAAGCGAAAGUGACGGUACCUGCAGAAAAAGCACCGGCUAACUACGUG